GACCCCCAAUAUUGUGUGGACUAUGGAAACCUCCCUGAGAUUCAGUAAUCCAUGAUUAAACUUUAAUGAACACAUGAAUCCCCUGGGGAUCUUGUUAAAAGGCAGAUUCAGAUUCAGCAGGUCUAGGAUGGAGGGAAGAAGACAGGAAGCAGAUUUCCACCUCUACUCUUGAGCCUCCCUCUUAAAUGAUGCUUGGGGCAACAACCCUCCAAAAUUAGGUACCAUUCAGUACCAAUCCCUUUGGUAACCACUGUAAUAACAUUAACAUGAUGAACUAAUGAGAUAUUAA
Panthera uncia (snow leopard) is the source of this 289-nucleotide long non-coding RNA. RefSeq lists it as uncharacterized. The record is from RefSeq and is a predicted model, not a curated record. NCBI's taxonomy places the organism in Eukaryota, Metazoa, Chordata, Mammalia, Carnivora, Felidae. The transcript is spliced from 2 exons.